AUGGAUUUGAGGUUGGGCUACCAUCAAAUCAAAAUCAGAAACGGGGACAUUCCUAAAACGGCCUUUGUUACUCGUUAUGGCCAAUACGAGUACACCGUCAUGUCCUUCGGUUUAACCAACGCUCCAGCCACCUUUUCUCGGUUAAUGAACUCAAUCUUCAUGGAGUAUUUGGAUAAAUUCGUCGUAGUUUAUCUCGAUGAUAUACUCAUCUACUCCAAGAACGAGGAAGAACAUGCCGAACAUUUAAGGCUAGUGUUGCAGAAACUUCGAGAGCAUCGCCUUUAUGCCAAGUUUUCCAAAUGUGAAUUUUGGUUGUCAGAAGUGACCUAUCUGGGUCAUGUAAUAUCUGGUAAAGGCAUUGCUGUUAACCCUGAGCGAGUUCAAGCCGUCCUUAAUUGGACUCCACCUGAAUCGGUCAAGCAAGUUCGGAGUUUUCUAGGCUUAGCGAGCUAUUGUCGUCGCUUUGUCGAAAACUUCUCCAAAGUUGCUAAACCUCUAACCGAACUCCUCAAGAAAGAUAAGAAGUUCGAAUGGACUCCACAAUGUGAGCACAGCUUUCAGGAACUGAAGAGAUGCCUGACUUCUGCUCCCGUACUGGUACCGCCAGACUUCUCCAAGGACUUUGUUAUCUACUGCGACGCCUCGCGACAAGGACUAGGUUGCAUUCUUAUGCAAGAUCGACACGUAAUUGCCUACGCUUCGCGGCAAUUGCACCCACAUGAGGAGAAUUAUCCUACUCAUGAUCUAGAGCUUGCAGCCGUAGUCUAUGCACUUAAGACCUGGCGACAUUACCUCCUCGGUAAUCGUUGCGAAAUAUUCACUGAUCACCAAAGUCUGAAGUACAUUUUCACCCAACCGGAUUUGAAUCUCAGGCAAAGACGUUGGGUUGAGUUGAUCACAGAUUUCGACUUGGGAAUAACUUACACCCCAGGGAAAGCCAACGUCAUGGCUGAUGCGCUAAGUCGUAAAUCUUAUUGUAACAACCUAAUGUUACAACAAAGUCAACCACUUCUCCAUGAGGAAUUUCGGAAGCUUAACCUUCACAUUGUUCCUCAAGGAUUUAUUUCCACCUUGGUGGCGAAACCUACUCUUACGGAUCAAAUUAUCGCUGCCCAGAAGCGAGAUAAGGGAAUAGCUAAGAUCAAAGAGAACAUUGCUAGCGGAGGUGCUAGUUGUUUCUCCACAAAUGAUCAUGGUGUUGUGUACUUUGGUAACCGUUUAGUGGUUCCCAAGAAUCCGCAUCUACGGCAGUUGAUCCUUAAGGAGGCUCAUGAAUCUCCUCUCACCAUUCAUCCCGGUAGUACUAAGAUGUAUCAGGACCUACGCCAGAGGUUCUGGUGGACUAGGAUGAAGAGAGAAAUUGCUCAGUAUAUUGCUAGCUGCGACGUCUGCCGUCGUGUAAAAGCAGAGCAGCAACGGCCUGCUGGCACCCUUCAACCCUUAGCCAUUCCUGAAUGGAAAUGGGAUAAAAUUGGUAUGGAUUUCAUUACCGGUUUUCCCAGGACCAAGAGAGGGAAUAAUGCUAUCUUCGUCGUUCUCGAUCGUCUUUCCAAAGUAGCCCAUUUCUUACCUGUUCGUGAGAGUAUAACCGCUAGUCAGCUGGCAGACUUAUACAUCUCCCGGAUAGUGUCUCUCCAUGGUGUUCCUUUGGAAAUUAACUCGGAUCGAGGAAGUCUUUUCACCUCUCGAUUUUGGGAAAGUUUCCAAAACGCUAUGGGAACCCGCCUUUCCUUUAGCACCGCUUUUCACCCUCAAUCGAGUGGUCAAGUAGAACGCGUCAACCAGAUUCUAGAAGACAUGCUUCGAGCCUCUGUUAUCUCAUUCGGAAUGGAUUGGGAGAAGUGCCUUCCAUUUGCCGAAUUCGCUUACAACAACAGCUAUCAAUCUAGCUUGGGUAAAGCCCCUUUUGAAGUUCUCUAUGGACGACGGUGUCGAACACCCCUUAACUGGUCAGAAACCGGGGAAAGACAAUUCUUUGGCCCGGAUAUGAUUCAGGAAGCAGAAGAGCAAGUUCGCAUCGUUUGUGAAAAGUUGAAAACCGCCCAAUCCCGUCAGAAGAGUCAAUAUGACCGAAAACAUAAGGCUAUGACUUUCGAGGUUGACGAGAAGGCUUAUCUUCGGGUUACCCCUCUGAAGGGAACCCAUCGUUUCGGUAUCAAAGGCAAAUUGGCUCCUCGUUACAUUGGACCUUUUCGCAUUCUCGCCAAACGAGGAGAAGUUGCCUACCAGUUGGAACUACCUCCGCACCUCUCCAGAGUCCACGAUGUCUUCCACGUUUCUCAACUCAGGCGUUGCUUCUCUGAUCCUAUCCAUGGAGUGGACCACGAAACGCUUGAUCUCCAAGAUAAUCUUACAUAUCGGGAGUACCCCAUUCGUAUCCUCGAUCGGGCCGAGCGUACCACUCGACGUCAUAAUAUCAAGUUUCUCAAAGUUCAAUGGUCGCACCAUUCUGAGGAUGAAGCAACUUGGGAAAGGGAGGAUCGUCUUCGACUCGAGUAUCCCGCCUUCUUCCCGGAGGAACCCAAAUCUCGGGACGAGAUUGUUUGA
Molecule: ribosomal RNA, 2547 nt
Filed under: Triticum aestivum (bread wheat)
Lineage: Eukaryota; Viridiplantae; Streptophyta; Magnoliopsida; Poales; Poaceae
Description: partial small subunit ribosomal RNA
Source: RNAcentral